CUUAGUCAAGUUGUAAGUGCUAGCACCAGAUGGACACAAAUCAUUCUCAUGAGGAGAAUCAAUUUAGUCGUCUAAAGGAUCAACUAGUGCUUGUGUACCUACAACAAGAGUUUGGUCCUCACGUGACCUAACAAUAUCAAGAGUAUCACAAAAUGAAGACUCAUGCUCUCCUACACUAGGUAAAAUCGCAACUACGUUCAUAUGGAUGUAGGGGAUAAUAUUUUUAC
Molecule: long non-coding RNA, 227 nt
Filed under: Capsicum annuum
Lineage: Eukaryota; Viridiplantae; Streptophyta; Magnoliopsida; Solanales; Solanaceae
Description: long non-coding RNA (CANN_LNC010096)
Source: RNAcentral